Molecule: ribosomal RNA, 394 nt
Filed under: uncultured bacterium
Lineage: Bacteria
Description: bacterial SSU rRNA
Rfam family: Bacterial small subunit ribosomal RNA
Source: RNAcentral
AUUGAACGCUGGCGGCGUGCCUAACACAUGCAAGUCGAGCGGUAACAGGUGUAGCAAUACAUGCUGACGAGCGGCGGACGGGUGAGCAAUAUUUGGGAAUCUGCCUAUUAGUGGGGGAUAACCCGGGGAAACUCGGGCUAAUGCCGCAUACGCUCUACGGAGGAAAGCCGGGGACCGCAAGGCCUGGCGCUAGUAGAUGAGCCCAAAUCGGAUUAGCUAGUUGGUGAGGUAACGGCUCACCAAGGCGACGAUCCGUAGCUGGUUUGAGAGAACGACCAGCCACACCGGAACUGAGACACGGUCCGGACUCCUACGGGAGGCAGUAGUGGGGAAUAUUGGACAAUGGGCGAAAGCCUGAUCCAGCGACGCCGCGUGGGUGAAGAAGGCCUGCGGG